GGAUACUAUGGACCCUUCCUCCUGGAGCUGUCCGAGAUAGAUCCUGGUUGCGGAGUUGAAGAUUUUAACAAGGUUGUUUACGAGUACAACUUUGUAACAUCUCUACACCAGGUUUAUGGGUACAAUCCUGCAGCUUCAGGACUCACUUCAAACAAUCCAGAUGAUCGGCCUGAGAUCAGAAAAUACUACAUUGGAGAGUUCAGCAGAAAACUGAAACUAGCACUUCACUGUAUUACAUCCCAGAGUGAUAGUGUGGAGGAAGCUCGGCUAGUUUCUGGAUUAAUUGAUAAAUAUGUAAACCUGGCAAACCAGAGAUUAGAUCUUACACAACAGCUCAUGUAGUCUAUCUAAACCAGAGAUUAGAUCUUACACAACAGCUCAUGUAGUUUAUACAAAAACCAGAGAUUAGAUCUUACACAACAGCUCAUGUAGUUUAUAAACAAACCAGAGAUUAGAUCUUACACAACAGCUCAUGUAGUUUAUACACAAACCAGAGAUUAGAUCUUACACAACAGCUCUUGUAUGUAAUUGUACAACAUACAUAGUUUACUCAAACAAAAAGUUUUACAUUGCCACGCCAGACGGUCCCAAAUCUGGCAAUGGUGUAUCAUGCAUUGCCACAUAAAACACCAGCUAUAUGCACAUCCAGACCACAUGUGUAUUGAUUAUAAUGUACUAUAUACUGAUUGUUCCAUGUGGUAUGUGACACUGGUCGUAUCAUGGGGACAUUAGAAAGCUUAUUUCAAAUAACAAGUUAUUUUUGUUAUUUUUGUUAUUUUUGUUAUAAUAUGCUUCCCAUUUUCCGAAAUGUUUGAUCAAAUACACAAUUUCAACUUUUUAUACUUUAAGCCCUACAAGUCUUUUUUCUUGAGUAAAGGGGCCUAAGAAAGUCAAAAUAAGUUAUGGUUGGAACUAUUCUGAGCUAUAUUUGAUAUUUUAUAUUUACUCCUGUAUACGCAAGUGAACAAUCGAACUGGUCAUUCAAAGAACAUAUGUAAAUAUUCUCAAUACACAUUAUAGGGUUUUUAAAGUGUUUCUUCAUGCCCGCCCAUUGUCUGUUUUGUUUAGGGAUCAUAUCUAAUAAAUAGCGAGAUAUAGCUGAACUCUUGUGCGACGGUUUAAGCUACAAAAGUGGUUCGACUACAUCUGCGCGGUUUAACCAUGUCUCUAUUUAUUAAAUCUGGUUCCAGAUAAUCUUAUUUUUUAAAUGUUAAAUUCUGUAAAAUAAUCCGGUCUAAAAUUUAGAAUAUAAAUUCCUGCUCUACUCUACAACCCAGAAUUGAUUGAAUUAUCCACGCGCAUGUUGUGUAAUGUUAGUUGAAAUUGUCCACGCAUGUUGUGUAAUAUUAAACAAAAUUAAAGUAAGGAAUUGCAGCCAGGGGCGCACACAGGGGGCAUAGGGGUCAGUCCCCCCUCGGAAUGAAAAUUGUUAGAGAUAUUCCCCUGGCAAUGGCAGAUUUGUAAAUUUGUCCACAGUUGUCUGAAAAGUGAAAAUUUUGAACCUUUAGUUUAUAUUUUUAUUCUCGUAUAUUUUCCAGGGAGGAAACUGAUUAAAAUGUG
Molecule: long non-coding RNA, 1560 nt
Filed under: Eurytemora carolleeae
Lineage: Eukaryota; Metazoa; Arthropoda; Copepoda; Calanoida; Temoridae
Description: uncharacterized LOC111712436
Source: RNAcentral